GCCUAAUACAUGCAAGUCGAGCGAGCUGAACCAACAGAUUCACUUCGGUGAUGACGUUGGGAACGCGAGCGGCGGAUGGGUGAGUAACACGUGGGGAACCUGCCCCAUAGUCUGGGAUACCACUUGGAAACAGGUGCUAAUACCGGAUAAGAAAGCAGAUCGCAUGAUCAGCUUAUAAAAGGCGGCGUAAGCUGUCGCUAUGGGAUGGCCCCGCGGUGCAUUAGCUAGUUGGUAGGGUAACGGCCUACCAAGGCAAUGAUGCAUAGCCGAGUUGAGAGACUGAUCGGCCACAUUGGGACUGAGACACGGCCCAAACUCCUACGGGAGGCAGCAGUAGGGAAUCUUCCACAAUGGACGAAAGUCUGAUGGAGCAACGCCGCGUGAGUGAAGAAGGUUUUCGGAUCGUAAAGCUCUGUUGUUGGUGAAGAAGGAUAGAGGUAGUAACUGGCCUUUAUUUGACGGUAAUCAACCAGAAAGUCACGGCUAACUACGUGCCAGCAGCCGCGGUAAUACGUAGGUGGCAAAGCGUUGUCCGGAUUUAUUGGGCCGUAAAGCGAGCGCAGGCGGAAGAAUAAGUCUGAUGUGAAAGCCCUCGGCUUAACCGAGGAACUGCAUCGGAAACUGUUUUUCUUGAGUGCAGAAGAGGAGAGUGGAACUCCAUGUGUAGCGGUGGAAUGCGUAGAUAUAUGGAAGAAC
This 696-nucleotide ribosomal RNA is filed under the name Lactobacillus acidophilus. Its description in RNAcentral is "bacterial SSU rRNA". It matches the Rfam family "Bacterial small subunit ribosomal RNA", at positions 46 to 707 of the family's 1533-position model. The record is from RNAcentral. Lineage: Bacteria; Bacillati; Bacillota; Bacilli; Lactobacillales; Lactobacillaceae.